GACGAACGCUGGCGGCGUGCCUAAUACAUGCAAGUAGAACGCUGAAGGAGGAGCUUGCUUCUCUGGAUGAGUUGCGAACGGGUGAGUAACGCGUAGGUAACCUGCCUGGUAGCGGGGGAUAACUAUUGGAAACGAUAGCUAAUACCGCAUAAUAGUAGAUGUUGCAUGACAUUUGCCUAAAAGGUGCAAUUGCAUCACUACCAGAUGGACCUGCGUUGUAUUAGCUAGUUGGUGGGGUAACGGCUCACCAAGGCGACGAUACAUAGCCGACCUGAGAGGGUGAUCGGCCACACUGGGACUGAGACACGGCCCAGACUCCUACGGGAGGCAGCAGUAGGGAAUCUUCGGCAAUGGACGGAAGUCUGACCGAGCAACGCCGCGUGAGGGAAGAAGGUUUUCGGAUCGUAAAGCUCUGUUGUAAGAGAAGAACGAGUGUGAGAGUGGAAAGUUCACACUGUGACGGUAUCUUACCAGAAAGGGACGGCUAGCUACGUG
RNAcentral lists this ribosomal RNA (495 nucleotides) under uncultured bacterium. RNAcentral describes it as "partial 16S ribosomal RNA". It matches the Rfam family "Bacterial small subunit ribosomal RNA", at positions 28 to 507 of the family's 1533-position model. The record is from RNAcentral.